RNAcentral lists this ribosomal RNA (169 nucleotides) under uncultured bacterium. RNAcentral's name for it is "partial 16S ribosomal RNA". It matches the Rfam family "Bacterial small subunit ribosomal RNA", at positions 338 to 524 of the family's 1533-position model. The record is from RNAcentral.
CCUACGGGAGGCAGCAGUGGGGAAUAUUGGACAAUGGGCGAAAGCCUGAUCCAGCAAUGCCGCGUGAGUGAUGAAGGCCUUAGGGUCGUAAAGCUCUUUUACCCGGGAUGAUAAUGACAGUACCGGGAGAAUAAGCUCCGGCUAACUCCGUGCCAGCAGCCGCGGUAAU